This 547-nucleotide unclassified non-coding RNA is filed under the name Hevea brasiliensis (rubber tree). The record is from RNAcentral. Lineage: Eukaryota; Viridiplantae; Streptophyta; Magnoliopsida; Malpighiales; Euphorbiaceae.
CUGAUUGACACGUACUAGUUGCUCACCAGCCUGCAAGGCCUUCUCAAUUUCAGCUUCACUACGGGCAGCAUCUUCAAUAUUUAUAGGCAGAGUCGGCAUUGCCUUACUGAUGCAAUAUACUUUCCUCACUUGAAUUUCCACCUGUUGCGUAGCACCUUUAAUGGCAACAUUAGGCACGGACACGACUCCUUCAACGUCGACGAUGGACUCGCGGCUCAAUCCAUCGACAUAUUUCACCAUCUGGCGACUAACGAGCUCCGGCUGCUCCGACACGACGCAUUGUACGGUGAAUCCCCUUUCUCUCACCACCAAAAACGCCAUUUUCUUGCCAACAGCACGGAUCGUCUGAAUGCGACCCCGCAGAAUCACAUACUUGUCUUUAAGCUCCCCCGUCAAAGAGCCGACCUGAGUCCAGUUUUCAAUAUCCUUAGCCUCCUUGGAUUGGAGAUCAGAGAGUGGCACAUCGCCAUAGUUAGCGGAAAGCGGGUCGUCCUCGACAUUAAGAGACGAAAUAGCAGCUUCGGCAGCGGCUUCUUGACGACGGCGG